Long non-coding RNA from Pan paniscus (pygmy chimpanzee), 517 nucleotides. The record is from Ensembl. Lineage: Eukaryota; Metazoa; Chordata; Mammalia; Primates; Hominidae.
UGAGACCACAGAGGCAGGUAUACAACUAGAGAUUCACCAGUAGUGUAAAUAUGAAAAUCUUCAUAUAUUAGAGUCUGUGGUAUCUCAUGAAUAAGUCCAAUCAUAACAUUUCUUUGCCUGCUUUCUUAUUAUGUGACUAUAAAAAGAUGUCAACAGUGCAUUUAAAUUUUCCUGCAGAGAGGAAAUAUGCAGAUCACAAUGAAGGACAAGCUGUGAAACGCCUAGAUUCCAGAGCAACAGACUGUGAUCCAUUCCCAACAACCCCUCCCUACCGUCUGCCACCAGUUCCCUUAAAGCAGGAAUCAGAGCUAGACUGACUCAACUAAGGUAAGAAGUGAGGCUUCAUGUGAAAAAGACUACAGCUACAAAACAAAUUCUCAAAUAUAUGUAACGUGCUAAGAUUUUGAACUUGACCCAGAAGUUUGUGGUGUACACACAAAUAGAAAUAACAUGCACACAGUCAUAUAGCUAUGUUUAAAAUUCUUUUUAGUGCUUUCCAAUUAAAAGCAUAAAUUAG